Long non-coding RNA from Populus nigra (black poplar), 615 nucleotides. RefSeq lists it as uncharacterized. NCBI's taxonomy places the organism in Eukaryota, Viridiplantae, Streptophyta, Magnoliopsida, Malpighiales, Salicaceae. The transcript has 3 exons. The record is from RefSeq and is a predicted model, not a curated record.
UCUCUACACACACAUAUACAUAGACAAACACGGAAAAAAUAAAUCCAUGGAAAGAAAGACGAAAUCGAUGCAUGCCAUUUCUCUGCAAAAAGCAAUCUGGAGAGUAGGAGAUUGAAGAAGUAUAGUGGAGCUGGUAAGCAGUCUCAAAGUUCCCAUUAACAUUGGAUUAAUCAAACUUGAAAUUCAACUGGAAAAAACUAUCUUUAACUUUGAAGUAGCAAAAGGUAGCUCCCAAGGAAUCUGAGGUCCUGCUUUAAUCAUAACAACGUAUUUGAUCAUCAUGUAUCCUGGGAAGAUAUGAGCUGAAUUCAGCCAUCAGAAGCUUAGAUUUCGAUCCCUUGUUUUUUUAUAAUGAAAAAAAAAAUGUCUACCAUGCAAAAUGUUGUAUCUUAGCCCAGUUUUUUUAAAAACUAUUUUUGUUGGCCCAUUACGAAGCACUCGUCUUGCAUGGCUCUGGUAUUUUUCUAUUUCUAUCUGGGCCUUGCUAGAAUUGUCACCCAGAAGUUCAGGAUUUUUAUUAUUUUUCAAAUUAAUGCACCCCUGUUGUUAGAGAGGCUACUGCCAUUCUUGAAGGUUGAUUUAAUCAAAUUCCAUUGACUGGUUGAUGGAGUCAAA